This 532-nucleotide ribosomal RNA is filed under the name Rana wuyiensis. RNAcentral describes it as "partial large subunit ribosomal RNA". It matches the Rfam family "Bacterial large subunit ribosomal RNA", at positions 1854 to 2603 of the family's 2925-position model. The record is from RNAcentral. Lineage: Eukaryota; Metazoa; Chordata; Amphibia; Anura; Ranidae.
UCAGCCUGCCCAGUGACAAAGUUUAACGGCCGCGGUACCCUAACCGUGCGAAGGUAGCAUAAUCACUUGUUCUUUAAAUGAGGACUCGUAUCAACGGCACUACGAGGGCUAUACUGUCUCCUUUUUCCAAUCAGUGAAACUGAUCUCCCCGUGAAGAAGCGGGGAUGAAAAUAUAAGACGAGAAGACCCCAUGGAGCUUUAAACUCACCAUGCACCUCUAUGCCCUUAUACCACUAAACAUAAGACACCUGCAUGAUAGUUUUAGGUUGGGGGGACCACGGAGUAUAAUAUAACCUCCACAACAAAUGGGCUAACACCCUUAUCCACGAGACACAACUCUAAGAAUUAUCAAACUAAUGCUUAUGACCCGAUAUUCGAUCAAUGAACCAAGUUACCCUGGGGAUAACAGCGCAAUCUACUUCAAGAGCCCAUAUCGACAAGUAGGUUUACGACCUCGAUGUUGGAUCAGGGUAUCCCGGUGGUGCAGCCGCUACCAAUGGUUCGUUUGUUCAACGAUUAAAACCCUACGUGA